This 208-nucleotide long non-coding RNA is filed under the name Elaeis guineensis (African oil palm). Its description in RNAcentral is "long non-coding RNA (EGUI_LNC052782)". The record is from RNAcentral. Lineage: Eukaryota; Viridiplantae; Streptophyta; Magnoliopsida; Arecales; Arecaceae.
CCACCCUUGGUUAUAGCCAUUUAAUAUGAACCCUUAGAUCUCCUCUAUGACUCUUGGAUGCACUUGGGUUCAAGCCAGAUUAGAUCCAAUUGAGCCUAAUUGAACCCAAUCUUCCAAUUAUCUGCAAAUUGAGUUAAAUAGCAUCAAUUCUAACCAAUACAAUUUAAUUAAUGAUAUCUUGAGUGUGGUUAAUGUAUCAAUUUAUGUA